UAAUACGGAGGAUCCAAGCGUUAUCCGGAAUUAUUGGGUUUAAAGGGUCCGCAGGCUGUUUGUUAAGUCAGAGGUGAAAUCCUACCGCUCAACGGUAGAACUGCCUUUGAUACUGGCAGACUUGAGUUAUUGUGAAGUAGUUAGAAUGUGUAGUGUAGCGGUGAAAUGCAUAGAUAUUACACAGAAUACCGAUUGCGAAAGCAGAUUACUAACAAUAUACUGACGCUGAGGGACGAAAGCGUGGGUAGCGAACAGGAUUAGAUACCCUGGUAGUCCACGCCGUAAACGAUGGUUACUAGCUGUUCGAUGUACAUUGGUACGUUGAGUGGCUAAGCGAAAGUGAUAAGUGACCCACCUGGGGAGUACGCUCGCAAGAGUG
This 379-nucleotide ribosomal RNA is filed under the name uncultured Bacteroidota bacterium. RNAcentral describes it as "bacterial SSU rRNA". It matches the Rfam family "Bacterial small subunit ribosomal RNA", at positions 521 to 896 of the family's 1533-position model. Lineage: Bacteria; Pseudomonadati; Bacteroidota. The record is from RNAcentral.